RNAcentral lists this ribosomal RNA (253 nucleotides) under uncultured bacterium. RNAcentral describes it as "partial 16S ribosomal RNA". It matches the Rfam family "Bacterial small subunit ribosomal RNA", at positions 524 to 776 of the family's 1533-position model. The record is from RNAcentral.
GACGUAGGGGGCGAGCGUUGUCCGGAAUUAUUGGGCGUAAAGAGCUCGUAGGCGGUUUGUUGCGUCGGCUGUGAAAUCCCGAGGCUCAACCUCGGGUCUGCAGUCGAUACGAGCAAACUAGAGUGUUGCAGGGGAGACUGGAAUUCCUGGUGUAGCGGUGAAAUGCGCAGAUAUCAGGAGGAACACCGGUGGCGAAGGCGGGUCUCUGGGCAACAACUGACGCUGAGGAGCGAAAGCGUGGGGAGCGAACAGG